This 490-nucleotide ribosomal RNA is filed under the name uncultured bacterium. RNAcentral's name for it is "partial 16S ribosomal RNA". It matches the Rfam family "Bacterial small subunit ribosomal RNA", at positions 30 to 507 of the family's 1533-position model. The record is from RNAcentral.
AUUGAACGCUGGCGGCAGGCCUAACACAUGCAAGUCGAACGGUAACAGGAAGCAGCUUGCUGCUUCGCUGACGAGUGGCGGACGGGUGAGUAAUGUCUGGGAAGCUGCCUGAUGGAGGGGGAUAACUACUGGAAACGGUAGCUAAUACCGCAUAAUGUCGCAAGACCAAAGAGGGGGACCUUCGGGCCUCUUGCCAUCGGAUGUGCCCAGAUGGGAUUAGCUUGUUGGUGGGGUAACGGCUCACCAAGGCGACGAUCCCUAGCUGGUCUGAGAGGAUGACCAGCCACACUGGGACUGAGACACGGUCCAGACUCUUACGGGAGGCAGCAGUGGGGAAUAUUGCACAAUGGGCGCAAGCCUGAUGCAGCCAUGCCGCGUGUAUGAAGAAGGCCUUCGGGUUGUAAAGUACUUUCAGCGGGGAGGAAGGGAGUAAAGUUAAUACCUUUGCUCAUUGACGUUACCCGCAGAAGAAGCACCGGCUAACUCCGUG